CAGCCGCCGCGGGAAUACGAAGGGGGCUAGCGUUGCUCGGAAUGACUGGGCGUAAAGGGCGCGUAGGCGGAUUGUUUAGUUAGGCGUGAAAUUCCUGGGCUUAACCUGGGGACUGCGCUUAAUACAGGCAGUCUAGAGUGAGGAAGAGGGUUGUGGAAUUCCCAGUGUAGAGGUGAAAUUCGUAGAUAUUGGGAAGAACACCGGUGGCGAAGGCGGCAACCUGGUCCUUGACUGACGCUGAGGCGCGAAAGCGUGGGGAGCAAACAGGAUUAGAUACCCCAGUAGUCCCUGUCUCUUAUAC
RNAcentral lists this ribosomal RNA (301 nucleotides) under uncultured bacterium. RNAcentral describes it as "partial 16S ribosomal RNA". It matches the Rfam family "Bacterial small subunit ribosomal RNA", at positions 509 to 807 of the family's 1533-position model. The record is from RNAcentral.